Pollicipes pollicipes is the source of this 134-nucleotide small nuclear RNA. RefSeq annotates it as U11 spliceosomal RNA. The record is from RefSeq and is a predicted model, not a curated record. The transcript has a single exon. NCBI's taxonomy places the organism in Eukaryota, Metazoa, Arthropoda, Thecostraca, Pollicipedomorpha, Pollicipedidae.
UAAAAGGGCGCUCGUCGACUGGUGGCGCAUGGGGGAAAAAUCUCCCGUGGAGUAUGGAAAUCCAGACAUACUCAGUGCAUAAUGUUUGGAACGGGAGGAAGUUGCCUAGGCUCCAGAAGUCGGGCGACGCCUCC